CAGCGAGGCUAAGCUAGUGGGGGCAAAGUUUCAGUACAUUCCGUUGAUGUAGACGGCGUGAAAACGGAAACAAGAAGUAUGCCGGCUCACUGUGCUGCAUACAAUUACACACUACGUCGUACGAUUGAGACAAGGAAACUUGGAAUGACUUUUCAUAGGUUUCCCAGAGACUAUGGGUUGAGGAGGAAUUGGAAGUUUGUCGGCUUAGACCUGGUGUCAUUCCAUCAGUGUUAAACUUCCCGGCUCAUCUUGGAAGAGUACGUGCCAGAAAGACCACGACCAAGCAGCCUUGAGAUCUUAGGCAGCGUCUCCCUGAGGUCCCUCUCUAUCUCCCCACACAUCCACCAACCACUGGAACACAUCUCCAAAGUUCUGCCGGGCCAGCUCAGCUUCCCCUCAGAAGAAGUGCCGCCACCUGCCAGAUGAAGGAGCCUUUUGAGAGGCAGCUGACAUCGUGAUUGGAUUGUACUUUGGUCUGUUCCAAUCCAGCUUCAGCUCCAGAGACGGCAGGCGGGACGAGUCAACGGAGGCCGGGUGGACGAAGACAUGCAGCUGAGUACAAUCCAGAAAACAACAGAGGAGGAGUGCAGCGGCCCAGAGCCAGAACAACCAGAGUAGCAUCCGACUCCAUGGAUUUUAUGGAUGGUGGUUAAAGACCUGCUCUUCUAGUCGUCUUCCUUCUAGUCGCUGUAAAAAGUCAGUCCAUCCUGGCCGACUUCAACACCU
Long non-coding RNA from Amphiprion ocellaris (clown anemonefish), 726 nucleotides. NCBI's taxonomy places the organism in Eukaryota, Metazoa, Chordata, Actinopteri, Pomacentridae. The record is from Ensembl.